CUGUCGAGCGGUACACGAGAGCUUGCUCUCUGGUGACAAGCGGCGGACGGGUGAGUAAUGUCUGGGAAACUGCCUGAUGGAGGGGGAUAACUACUGGAAACGGUAGCUAAUACCGCAUAAUGUCUCAAGACCAAAGUGGGGGACCUUCUGGCCUCUUGCCCUCUCAUGUGCCCCCAUGGGAUUAUCUAUUAGGUGGGGUAACGGCUCACCUAGGCGACAAUCCCUAUCUGGGCUGAGAGGAUGACCACCCACACUGGAACUGAGACACGGUCCACACUCCUACGGGAGGCGGCAGUGGGGAAUAUUGCGCAAUGGGCGCAAGCCUGAUGCACCCAUGCCGCGUGUGUGAAAAAAGCCUUCUGGUUGUAAAGCACUUUCUCCGGGGAGGAAGGCGGUGAGGUUAAAUAACCUUUUCCAUUGACGUUACCCGCAGAAAAAACACCGGCUAACUCCGUGCCACCACCCGCGGUAAUACGGAGGGUGCGAGCGUUAAUCUGAAUUACUGGGCGUAAAGCGCACGCACGCGGUCUGUCAAGUCUGAUGUGAAAUCCCCGGGCUCUACCUGGGAACUGCGUUUCAAACUGGGAGGCUAUAGUCUUGUAUAGGGGGGUAGAAUUCCCCGUGUAUCGGUGAAAUGCGUAUAGAUCUGGAGGAAUACCGGUGGCGAAAGCGGCCCCCUGGACAAAGACUGACACUCUCGUGCGAAAGCGUGGGGAGCAAACAGGAUUAUAUACCCUGUUAGUCCACGCCGUAAACGAUGUCUAUUUGUAGGUUGUGCCCUUGUGGCGUGGGUUCUGGAGCUAACACGUUAUAUCUACCCCUGGGGAGUACUGCCGCACGUUAAAAUCAAAUGAAUUGAGGGGGGCCCGCACAACGGUGGAGCAUGUGGUUUAAUUCUAUGCGCGCGAAGAACCUUAUCUGGUCUUGUCAUCUCCAGAACUUUUCCCAGAUGUUAUGGUGCCUCUGGAACAGUGAGACAGGGCUGCAUGGCUGGUCGUCAUCCUCCUGGUGUGAAAGUUGGGUAAUCCCCCACAGCGCCAACCCCUUAUCUUCUUUUUGCCACCGGUUCGCGCCGGGACUCCAAGAGAAUGCUCACUGGUAAUACAGCGGAGGAAAGGGGGGGAGAACUGUCAAUACUCAUGGGCCCUCAUACAACAGGUUACAAGUCUCCAUGCAUACAAAGAAAGCGACCUCCCGACAGCGACCCCUAAAAGGAUGCUAAUCGUGUAUGAGACUGCCCU
This 1241-nucleotide ribosomal RNA is filed under the name Klebsiella pneumoniae. RNAcentral's name for it is "bacterial SSU rRNA". It matches the Rfam family "Bacterial small subunit ribosomal RNA", at positions 59 to 1290 of the family's 1533-position model. The record is from RNAcentral. Lineage: Bacteria; Pseudomonadati; Pseudomonadota; Gammaproteobacteria; Enterobacterales; Enterobacteriaceae.